This is a transfer RNA of Cavia porcellus (domestic guinea pig), 73 nucleotides long. It matches the Rfam family "tRNA". From Rfam's summary of the family: Transfer RNA (tRNA) molecules are approximately 80 nucleotides in length. Lineage: Eukaryota; Metazoa; Chordata; Mammalia; Rodentia; Caviidae. The record is from Rfam.
GGGGGUUUAGCUUAGCGGCAUAAGCGCCUGCCUUGCAAGCAGGCAGUCCUGAGUUCGAUCCCUGGUACCAAUA